AUGCACGGGACGCCAGCCAUUUUUGCUGGAACCCCAAAUCAUUUUGCUUCAACCAAGUACCGGAGGUUUUCUUGCUUUAGAUUUUUGCUGGAACCAGCAAAUCCUUUUGUUUCAACCAAGUACCGGCGGUUUUGUUACUUUAGAUUUUGUUUUGCUGGGCAUGGCGGUGCAAGUCGAUGGAGGAGAGCCGGAGACAGGGAAGCCAGGGAAGUUGCAACCAUGGUGACUAGACGUUGGAACCUGACUGUAUUGGAGCUGCAACCAUCGCGAGCGGAGGUAGCCAAGGCGAGCGUAAUCGCAUGGCGAGCGGAGCGGCCGGUGAGCGCACGUGAAGUCCAGCAUGUGCGCAACUACCUUUUCCACGUGCUUCUAUCCGUCCAUGUGUAUGAUGACGCGGUGGGUGAGGACGAAGACCUUGCAGCUGUUGAAUGGGACCCUUUCAACCCUCAUAUGGAAGAAGGUGAAGUGGAGAGGACCAGCCCAGGUAGUAUUGUAGAUAUUGACCACCACACCAUGGAGAACACAUUCAGGGGAGUGACAAAGACCAAGGAAUGCUUUAGGAGGGUUUUUGUUUGCUUUGAGGCUUGUCGCUGGGGUUUUUUGGCAGGCUGCAGGCUUAUUUGGCUAUCGAUGCUACUUUUCUCACAGGGAGAUCCAGCGUUCGGAGAGUGUUUCAAUGAAGGCUUUGAUGGAAAUGUUGGUCAGCAGCCGGUUACCACAACAGAUGAUGAAAAUUAUGGUCAACAGCCGAUUGCAUCAGAUGAGGAUUUUGACGAGGUUCCAAAUGAUGAUGGUCAACAGCCGCAUAAUUUUGAUGAUGAUCCAAAAUAUCCUCCAAAUGGUGAUCCAAGUGAGGCUCCAAAUGGUGAUCCAUGUGAGGCUCCAAAUGGUGACCAACCUUCUGUCAUUCUCUGCGGUAGGUUUGAAGAACUCGCGCAAGGUACCAACAACCAAGAGGAGAAGAGAAGAAGCAAUGAGUACAAGGUGCGCGAGGAGCAAAGUGAUGGCAAGAAGCUCAAGGAUCAAACAGAAGCCCCAAUGCUAUUUUUGAAUAAUUAUGAAACAUUAUGA
RNAcentral lists this ribosomal RNA (1071 nucleotides) under Triticum aestivum (bread wheat). Its description in RNAcentral is "partial small subunit ribosomal RNA". The record is from RNAcentral. Lineage: Eukaryota; Viridiplantae; Streptophyta; Magnoliopsida; Poales; Poaceae.